UACACCUGAGAGAAGAGACAAGGAGCUGAGAUAAGACAGGCCUAGAACUGGGGGGGGGAGGGGGGGGCGGCAUCUAGGGCCGGGAGAGGAACGCGCCCCCCCCCAGGCUGAGAAGAAACUCUGGCGACCAGGGCCGGCGGCCUCGUGUGGGCAUCGUGUCCCGUUUCCUGCCUGCUCUCUCUUUCCCACCACACAGGUUUCUUCUGUUCUCAGCCUCAGGGCUGGGCCAGAGCUGCGCCCCAGAAACUGCUUCCCCGGCUGCCCUUCGCCAUUUUCAUCCCAUCGGAGGGUCACGCCUGCCGUUACAUCCUUGGCGUUUUUCCCGAAUUGACCAUAAGACGCGAGGCCACGCAUGCGGGGACGAGGUGGCGUCUCCGCCAAAGUGCUGCUAACGAGACGCUCACGGCGCCUCUCUGCGUCCACCUCAGGCCACGUCUUAGGCGUACGUGUCUCGGCCUUUGGACGGCGCCGCCGUGACCACGCGCAGGACCGCUGUCGCGAGAGCCAAAGUGGGGGGACAGCCCCACUGUCCGCUGACGGAUGAACGGAUGAGCCAAAUGUGGUCGGUCCGUGCCGUGGAACAUUAUUUGGCCAUAAAAAUAAAAAGAAAGAAGGUCCGGUGCGCCACCGUGUGGCUGAACCCCGGCAACGCUGUACUGGGCAAAAGAAGUCAGACCCAA
This is a long non-coding RNA of Felis catus (domestic cat), 680 nucleotides long. RefSeq lists it as uncharacterized. Lineage: Eukaryota; Metazoa; Chordata; Mammalia; Carnivora; Felidae. The record is from RefSeq and is a predicted model, not a curated record. The transcript is spliced from 2 exons.